This 358-nucleotide ribosomal RNA is filed under the name Ornithomya chloropus. RNAcentral's name for it is "partial 16S ribosomal RNA". Lineage: Eukaryota; Metazoa; Arthropoda; Insecta; Diptera; Hippoboscidae. The record is from RNAcentral.
GCAUAAUCAUUAGUUUUUUAAUUGAAGGCUGGAAUGAAUGGUUGGACGAAAUAAUGACUGUUUCAUAUAAAUUUAGAUUAGAAAUUUAUUUUUUAGUUAAAAAGCUAAAAUUUAAUUAAAAGACGAGAAGACCCUAUAAAUCUUUAUAUUAAAUUGAUAUUUAUUAUUUAGUAAUUUAUAUUAAUUAUCAAUAGUAAUAUUUUAUUGGGGUGAUAUUAAAAUUUGAUUAACUUUUAAUUUAUUUUAACAUUAAUUUAUGAUUAUUUGAUCCAUUAUUAUUGAUUAGUAGAAUAAGUUACUUUAGGGAUAACAGCGUAAUUUUUUUGGAGAGUUCUUAUCGAUAAAAAAGAUUGCGACC